GAUGAACGCUGGCGGCGUGCCUAAUACAUGCAAGUCGAGCGAACAGAUAAGGAGCUUGCUCCUUUGACGUUAGCGGCGGACGGGUGAGUAACACGUGGGUAACCUACCUAUAAGACUGGAAUAACUCCGGGAAACCGGGGCUAAUGCCGGAUAACAUUUAGAACCGCAUGGUUCUAAAGUGAAAGAUGGUUUUGCUAUCACUUAUAGAUGGACCCGCGCCGUAUUAGCUAGUUGGUAAGGUAGCGGCUUACCAAGGCAACGAUACGUAGCCGACCUGAGAGGGUGGUCGGCCACACUGGAACUGAGACACCGUCCAGACUCCUACGGGAGGCAGCAGUAGGGAAUCUUCCGCAAUGGGCGAAAGCCUUACGGAGCAACGCCGCGUGAGUGAUGAAGGUCUUCGGAUCGUAAAACUCUGUUAUUAGGGAAGAACAAAUGUGUAAGUAACUGUGCACGUCUUGACGGUACCUAAUCAGAAAGCCACGGCUAACUACGUG
This 497-nucleotide ribosomal RNA is filed under the name uncultured bacterium. Its description in RNAcentral is "partial 16S ribosomal RNA". It matches the Rfam family "Bacterial small subunit ribosomal RNA", at positions 28 to 507 of the family's 1533-position model. The record is from RNAcentral.